Molecule: ribosomal RNA, 305 nt
Filed under: uncultured bacterium
Lineage: Bacteria
Description: bacterial SSU rRNA
Rfam family: Bacterial small subunit ribosomal RNA
Source: RNAcentral
GGGUCCCUACGGGGGGCAGCAGUGGGGGAUAUUGGACAAUGGGGGGAGCCCUGAUCCAGCGACGCCGCGUGAGUGAAGAAGUAUUUCGGUAUGUAAAGCUCUGUCAGCAGGGAAGAAAGCAAUGACGGUACCUGACCAAGAAGCCCCGGCUAACUACGUGCCAGCAGCCGCGGUAAUACGUAGGGGGCAAGCGUUAUCCGGAUUUACUGGGUGUAAAGGGAGCGUAGACGGCAGCACAAGUCUGGAGUGAAAUCCCGGGGCUUAACCCCGGAACUGCUUUGGAAACUGUGCGGCUGGAGUGCAGG